This 429-nucleotide ribosomal RNA is filed under the name Fusobacteriota bacterium. RNAcentral's name for it is "Fusobacteria bacterium partial 16S ribosomal RNA". It matches the Rfam family "Bacterial small subunit ribosomal RNA", at positions 355 to 776 of the family's 1533-position model. The record is from RNAcentral. Lineage: Bacteria; Fusobacteriati; Fusobacteriota.
UGGGGAAUAUUGCGCAAUGGGCGAAAGCCUGACGCAGCGACGCCGCGUGAGGGAUGAAGGUUUUCGGAUCGUAAACCUCUGUCAGAAGGGAAGAAACCGCACUGUGCUAAUCAGCAGUGCCUUGACGGUACCUUCAAAGGAAGCACCGGCUAACUCCGUGCCAGCAGCCGCGGUAAUACGGAGGGUGCAAGCGUUAAUCGGAAUUACUGGGCGUAAAGCGCACGUAGGCUGCUUUGUAAGUCAGGGGUGAAAUCCCACGGCUCAACCGUGGAACUGCCUUUGAUACUGCUUAGCUUGAAUCCGGGAGAGGGUGGCGGAAUUCCAGGUGUAGAAGUGAAAUCCGUAGAUAUCUGGAGGAACAUCAGUGGCGAAGGCGGCCACCUGGACCGGUAUUGACGCUGAGGUGCGAAAGCGUGCGGAUCAAACAGG